CCUACGGGUGGCAGCAGUGGGGAAUAUUGGGCAAUGGGCGCAAGCCUGACCCAGCAACGCCGCGUGAAGGAAGAAGGCUUUCGGGUUGUAAACUUCUUUUAAGAGGGAAGAGCCGCAGACGGUACCUCUUGAAUAAGCCACGGCGAACUACGUGCCAGCAGCCGCGGUAAUACGUAGGUGGCAAGCGGUGUCCGGAUUUACUGGGUGUAAAGGGCGUGCAGCCGGGAAGACAAGUCCUAUGUGAAAUCCCGCGGCUCAAACGCGGAACUGCCUUUGAAACUGGUUUUCUUGAGUACCGGAGAGGUAAUCGGAAUGCCUUGUGUAGCGGUGAAAUGCGUAGAUAUAAGGAAGAACACCAGUGGCGAAGGCGGAAGACUGGACGGCAACUGACGGUGAGGCGCGAAAGCGUGGGGAGCAAACAGGAUUAGAUACCCCUGUAGUC
Molecule: ribosomal RNA, 442 nt
Filed under: uncultured bacterium
Lineage: Bacteria
Description: partial 16S ribosomal RNA
Rfam family: Bacterial small subunit ribosomal RNA
Source: RNAcentral